Molecule: regulatory RNA element, 49 nt
Organism: Gorilla gorilla gorilla (western lowland gorilla)
Lineage: Eukaryota; Metazoa; Chordata; Mammalia; Primates; Hominidae
Source: Rfam
GGGAAACGGGAAGAGGGGCCAGCCCCAGGCCCCACAACAAAGUGGGGCA